This 665-nucleotide ribosomal RNA is filed under the name uncultured Micromonosporaceae bacterium. RNAcentral's name for it is "bacterial SSU rRNA". It matches the Rfam family "Bacterial small subunit ribosomal RNA", at positions 136 to 816 of the family's 1533-position model. The record is from RNAcentral. Lineage: Bacteria; Bacillati; Actinomycetota; Actinomycetes; Micromonosporales; Micromonosporaceae.
CUUUGGGAUAACCCUCGGAAACGGGGGCUAAUACCGGAUACAACCUUUGGUCGCAUGACUGGGGGUGGAAAGUUUUUCGGCCUGGGAUGGGCUCGCGGCCUAUCAACUUGUUGGUGGGGUGAUGGCCUACCAAGGCGACGACGGGUAGCCGGCCUGAGAGGGCGACCGGCCACACUGGGACUGAGACACGGCCCAGACUCCUACGGGAGGCAGCAGUGGGGAAUAUUGCACAAUGGGCGGAAGCCUGAUGCAGCGACGCCGCGUGAGGGAUGACGGCCUUCGGGUUGUAAACCUCUUUCAGCAGGGACGAAGCGCAAGUGACGGUACCUGCAGAAGAAGCGCCGGCCAACUACGUGCCAGCAGCCGCGGUAAGACGUAGGGCGCGAGCGUUGUCCGGAUUUAUUGGGCGUAAAGAGCUCGUGGGCGGCUUGUCGCGUCGACUGUGAAAACCCGUGGCUCAACUGCGGGCCUGCAGUCGAUACGGGCAGGCUAGAGUUCGGUAGGGGAGACUGGAAUUCCUGGUGUAGCGGUGAAAUGCGCAGAUAUCAGGAGGAACACCGGUGGCGAAGGCGGGUCUCUGGGCCGAUACUGACGCUGAGGAGCGAAAGCGUGGGGAACGAACAGGAUUAGAUACCCUGGUAGUCCACGCUGUAAACGUUGGGCGC